This 496-nucleotide ribosomal RNA is filed under the name uncultured bacterium. RNAcentral's name for it is "partial 16S ribosomal RNA". It matches the Rfam family "Bacterial small subunit ribosomal RNA", at positions 899 to 1397 of the family's 1533-position model. The record is from RNAcentral.
ACUCAAAGGAAUAGACGGGGACCCGCACAAGCGGUGGAGCAUGUGGUUUAAUUCGACGCAACGCGAAGAACCUUACCUGGGUUAAAUCCUGAACCGCAGCCUCAGAGAUGAGGUCUCCCUUCGGGGGGUUCAGGAAGGUGCUGCAUGGCUGUCGUCAGCUCGUGCCGUGAGGUGUUGGGUUAAGUCCCGCAACGAGCGCAACCCUUACCACUAGUUGCCAGCGGUUCGGCCGGGCACUCUAUUGGGACUGCCGGUGACAAACCGGAGGAAGGUGGGGAUGACGUCAAGUCAUCAUGGCCUUUAUGUCCAGGGCUACACACGUGCUACAAUGGCAGGAACAAAGCGCUGCAAGCCCGCGAGGGGGAGCCAAUCGCAAAAAUCCUGUCUCAGUUCGGAUUGGAGUCUGCAACUCGACUCCAUGAAGCUGGAAUCGCUAGUAAUCGCGGAUCAGCACGCCGCGGUGAAUACGUUCCCGGGUCUUGUACACACCGCCCGU